UUCUCCUGGAAACGGGUGGUAAUGCCGGAUGCUCCAGUCCAUCGCAUGGUGGUCUGGGAAAGAUUUCAUCGGUAUGGGAUGGGGUCGCGUCCUAUCAGGUAGUCGGCGGGGUAACGGCCCACCGAGCCUACGACGGGUAGCCGGCCUGAGAGGGCGACCGGCCACAUUGGGACUGAGAUACGGCCCAGACUCCUACGGGAGGCAGCAGUGGGGAAUAUUGCACAAUGGGCGCAAGCCUGAUGCAGCGACGCCGCGUGCGGGAUGGAGGCCUUCGGGUUGUAAACCGCUUUUGUCGGGGAGCAAGCCUUCGGGUGAGUGUACCCUUCGAAUAAGCACCGGCUAACUACGUGCCAGCAGCCGCGGUAAUACGUAGGGUGCAAGCGUUAUCCGGAAUUAUUGGGCGUAAAGAGCUCGUAGGCGGUUCGUCGCGUCCGGUGUGAAAGUCCAUCGCUUAACGGUGGAUCUGCGCCGGGUACGGGCGGGCUGGAGUGCGGUAGGGGAGACUGGAAUUCCCGGUGUAACGGUGGAAUGUGUAGAUAUC
Molecule: ribosomal RNA, 541 nt
Filed under: Bifidobacterium angulatum
Lineage: Bacteria; Bacillati; Actinomycetota; Actinomycetes; Bifidobacteriales; Bifidobacteriaceae
Description: bacterial SSU rRNA
Rfam family: Bacterial small subunit ribosomal RNA
Source: RNAcentral